GUGGCGAGUGGCGAACGGGUGAGUAAUACAUCGGAACGUGCCCGGACGUGGGGGAUAACUACUCGAAAGAGUGGCUAAUACCGCAUACGAUCCAAGGAUGAAAGCGGGGGAUCGCAAGACCUCGCGCGUUUGGAGCGGCCGAUGGCAGAUUAGGUAGUUGGUGAGGUAAAGGCUUACCAAGCCUGCGAUCUGUAGCUGGUCUGAGAGGAUGAUCAGCCACACUGGGACUGAGACACGGCCCAGACUCCUACGGGAGGCAGCAGUGGGGAAUUUUGGACAAUGGGCGAAAGCCUGAUCCAGCCCUUCCGCGUGCAGGAUGAAGGCCCUCGGGUUGUAAACUGCUUUUGUACGGAACGAAAAGGCUCUUGCUAAUACCAGGAGUCCAUGACGGUACCGUAAGAAUAAGCACCGGCUAACUACGUGCCAGCAGCCGCGGUAAUACGUAGGGUGCAAGCGUUAAUCGGAAUUACUGGGCGUAAAGCGUGCGCAGGCGGUUUUGUAAGACAGAGGUGAAAUCCUCGGGCUCACCUGGGAACUGCCUUUGUGACUGCAAGGCUGGA
RNAcentral lists this ribosomal RNA (560 nucleotides) under uncultured bacterium. RNAcentral describes it as "bacterial SSU rRNA". It matches the Rfam family "Bacterial small subunit ribosomal RNA", at positions 88 to 645 of the family's 1533-position model. The record is from RNAcentral.